UCGAAAAAACAGAUGGUAAUUUGAUUUAAUGAAUGCAGUCUUAUGGUUGUCAAUUCUAAUUUUGAUCCUACCAAAUCCUUCUAUUGAGAUGUCAUUAGUAAUUGAAUUAUAGCAGAUUAUAUUAUCAAUAUGUUUUUUGCAAAAAAUAUUAUUUAACCAUACUUAUUUAAACAGGAUGUUUUUGGGAAGUGUUAGCAACUAUUGUUCAAACCAUGCACAAUGCCCAGUUGUAAUUAUUAAGAGAAGCUCUUGAGAAGCCAUUUUGAGUACGCAUCUUAUCACUCUCUCUCAAUGCUAGUUUAGCUGCAUAAAUUUUUUUCUGUUACACAAUUUUUUUAUUAUAGAAGGAUUUAGGCGAUUUAGUAUUCUUGGAAGUCACAUAAUUGUAACUUAGUACUGUAACUUGCUUCAUACACUUGGACACGUUCUAACAUUUACCGGAUACGUGUUUUUAAUUUUUUAAUGCUUUUUAUAGUUUUUAAAUUUUAGAUACGUAUACAUUAUAACAUGUAAAUAGAUAACAUUUUUUUACUUAAUAAAUACGUAUUGUUAUUAUCAAUAACUUAUUGAAAAUAAAUAAUAUAUAUUUGCAAUAAAUAACAAAGCUUUUUUAAUUAAUAUUUAUUAUUGACACCUACUCUUUUGUAUACUCAAUGAUAAGGAAUAAAGUGGCUCUACAAGAGUUGAAGAAUUGGCUUUCAUUCAUAGCUAUUGGCUUCUUUUAUCUAUAAAAUUAAAUCUUUAUUUAAAAGGAGAAUCCAAAAUGUGAGACAUUGUCAUAGACCUAUUUGAUACUCUUGCAUGUGUUGGGCUGAUUGCAGAUAAUAAUCUACAAUUAGAUGAGCCAUAGUUGAAGUGUAAGAAACUAGUUGUGAUGAUGUUGAUUGAAGAAAGUUUAAGAUACAAUUCUUUAGCACUUUAUUUUAUUUUUAUUGUUAGGCUUCUCUUUUAAUGUUAUUUUUUCAUAAUAACGAUGAAAUAAUACUGAAUUUUAUGAUUUAACUUAUUAAAAUACUACACACACACACAAUGUGUGUGUGUGUGUGUAUAGCAUCUGCGUGUCCUAAUUUUUCUUAAUAAGCUAUAAUGGUGUACCGCUAUCAUGGUAGGGUACUAUGAAAGGAAGUUGGCACAAAUAUGAGGGAUUUAAAUUCCUUAUUCCCUUGCACCUCGGCUUAUUUCUCUUUAAGGCUAUGAUUGGUAGUUGGUAGUGCCUGGAAAGGCCUUUUUAGCUUUCUUUUCAGAAGAGUGAGAAGGUUCAUCUUUCGAUGGGUGAUCCAAUGCCCCAACAACAAUCCCUUACCUGGCUCUACUGCCCCUCAUGCCACCUUAGCUGAAAUGCCCCCAACCCUUCCAGGCUCAAGAUUCAAAAAUACCAAUCCACUGCUGAACACCCUGACCCAUCCUUUUCAAUGGCAUGGCCAGCCAUCACUUCAUCUAGCUUUUGCAAAACAAUCCCCAUCCUUUCCCUAGUUUGCUUGCCUCCCAACUCUUGCCUAACCCUAUAGACUAACCCAAUUUUUUUAUCAGUCACUCCUCCCUUAGUUCUAGGCACACAACCCACCCAUAACACAACCCAACUCAGCAACUCUUCUAUCCUAUCGCUGAAAUGUGUUGAUGUUAAUAUAUUCUCUCAAUGUGCUUCAAAUUGGUUGACAGAUUUAGCGGUCCAAGUUGGGUUGAUUAAGUUCCUUUUUUGUGGGUUUCUAUAGUAUCAUUAACAUGGAUUUUCUGGUUUAAUUAUUGAUCUUUGCAUAUAGUUUGACUUUUCAUGAAGAAUGGGUUGAUAUUGGUACUUGAUGGGUUAACAUAUUUUUCAAGUAGUUCAUGUUCACUGUUAUAUCAUAUGUGUGUGCAAUUAACACAAGAUAGGGGUGACGAAAAUGUGGUGAUAAUGAGUAGUGGUGGUGAUUAUUCUUUCUUCAUGUUCAUAAUGAAAUAUGGGAAACAGAAUGGACUUACAAAACUCAUUCCAAGUAGAACUCUGUAUAGUUGGAACAGCUAUUUGGGCUAGGACACGUGGCCUAAAAUCUUCUUUUUUUCUCUUAUAUUCUAAUUUUCCCUAUUCCUUUUUAUACUUUCUUUCAUGUUAGAUGAAGAACACAUUUUUCUUGGUAUGAGUGUUAAAUCUAGAACUAAAAUUGGACUGGUGAUAGAAGUUGGAAAAGAGAUUAUGGAUAUAAAUUUAUGGCUUUUUUGGUGGAUAGUGUCAAGAAAAAGAAGCUAAAAUCUUGUUUAUACUGUUUAGUCUUGCCUAGUACUACAUACCAAAUAAGCAGGAUUUUCUAGAUUAUUUGAAGCAGAAUUAUAGGCUGCUAGGUCAACAUGUUUUAUGGUUUGGAGUGGGCGUCAUAAAAUUUUGAAGUUGAUGCACCUUGAAACACUGUACUAUACGGGAUGCUGAUGUCAAUAAUAAUCAUUGUGAUAUCCUAAUAAAAGACUGGAGAAGCUAACACUGCAGGGAAUGGAGUGCCAUGCUUCUCAUUCAACGGAGUGGAACGGCAGAGUCAUUCGUAAACAAUUAUACCCUUCAGUGCAUGUUUUCUUAGUUAUUAAUGUCCUCUAGUGCUCCACCCCCUCAUAAAAGCAGAAUGUGACGAACUGGUGAAAAUUUUAUCAAGUUAAAAAAAUAAAAAUAAAAACUAAUUGUGAAGAUAAAUUACACAUUAUAGUCUGUUAUUUAUGAAAAUUAUCUGUAAAAUUAUAAAAUUUCGAGCGGAUUACUUUGUUUAUGUUUUCUUGAAUGAACACUCAUUUCGUGCUUAAUCUCUUCUUGUACAUAGAUUUUGAGCGUGUGAUACUGAUGCAGUUCAUGGUGAAGACCAAAUCGAUCCUGUAAUUGUUGUAAUUGUAUUGUGGGUUUUCUGAAUUUCUGGGAUAUUAAGGUGUGUACAAAGUUCUGCUGCUCUUGUAAGUUAAAAUUUGUUGAUGUUGAAACUGAAUUUUGUUGAUUUGAUUACUUGUGAAAGUUGAUAUGGAUGGAUUCAAUCAUUCAAGUGUUACCGUAGUUAACUUUCAUGUUAGGUUUUAGUAAUUACUUUGCAGUUUAAAUCCUACCAUUACUAAGUGAGAUCACUGAAAUUGCGAUGCAACAUACUUUAUAGAUUAAAUCCAUUUUUUAUCAUUUAACUUUGAAUGAAAUCUCAAUUAGGUCACCCUACUAUAGUUUAUCAUAACCAAAUCAUUGAACUUAAAUUUACUUUCAAUUUUACUAAG
Molecule: long non-coding RNA, 3216 nt
Filed under: Olea europaea subsp. europaea
Lineage: Eukaryota; Viridiplantae; Streptophyta; Magnoliopsida; Lamiales; Oleaceae
Source: RNAcentral